Vicugna pacos (alpaca) is the source of this 1378-nucleotide non-coding RNA. Lineage: Eukaryota; Metazoa; Chordata; Mammalia; Artiodactyla; Camelidae. The record is from RefSeq and is a predicted model, not a curated record.
GUCCUUCAUGGAUUUCAUUGUUGAAUCAGUUCACUAGAAUCUGGCCACCCUUCCUCUGCCCCCUGUUUUCCAGGAAUAAACUGAUCAAAUCAAGAUUCAGAAGCAGAAUAACCAUACACCAAGCCUCAGCCCACACUACGGAGGCCUGCAGGAAUAUCCUGUCGCAUUUGUUCCUGCUCCUUCUCAUCCAGGAUGCAAUUCCCAUCUUGGUCAAACCUGGUGAAGGCAGCUGUGAGCUCAGUGAUCUCAUACUCCGUGUGCCCCAGCCUGAGGAGAACAGAGUGAUGAAAUGACUUCUGAGCUGCCAUGGCUGUGGUCUCCCAGUUAUGGACUCCCUACUCAUUUUUUUCAGUCUCUGGCAAGAGGGAAGAAGGGUACCAUGUAGAAAAGCCAGGAUCUCCAAGAUCUAGCAAUUUGAUCCCCUAAGAAAUCACUUGAGUCUAUUUCUUCCUUCUGUGACUCCUGCUGACUAGGUUCAGGCCCUCGUGAUCUCCUAUGGGGAUUACUGCAAAAUCUCUUUGCCUCCAGAUAACCUGACCCCUCCCUGCACCCUCUGUCCUAUAGCCUCCCCUUCACUCCUUAUCCCUGAAAUCCAUCCCUCAUAAUGCUACUAGAGUAAUUAAUCUUUCUAAAAUACAAGUCUAAACAUACCCCUUCCCUGCUUAAAAUCCCUACUGAGAACCCUGUUCUUUGAGUAGAGCAGUGGCGUCCAAGGCUUUUCCCAGUGUGGCCUGAGCCCAUUUAACUGGCCUCAGCUCCCCCUGUGCUCUGCCUUUCAUUUGAUACCUUAACAAUACUCAGCUACUAGUGACUCCUGUCUGUGUUGCUCAAUUUCAGACCUCCUUGCUUUUAUAUGUGCUUUUAUUAAUCCAUGCCCCUCUCUUCUAGUCACUUCUGUUGUCAAACUUGUUCUCUGAUUCUGUUUAAUUGCUUACAUGUCUAUAAACUCCUGGAGGACAAUGACUUUGUUUCAUUUAAUUGUGUGUCUGGCUCACAGCUGGUGCUCACAAUAUAUUUGUUCAAUGUUUGUUAAUAUGUUUAACUGGGAAGCAGGAAGAGGAUGGUUAAAGGAAAAGAUCUGUGUUUGUUGGGGAGCACAGAACCAAGAUCAAAGUUCUGAAGGAGUGAGGGAUGUAUACAGUGAUUAUGGAAUUAUAUUAUUACAUUAGUCCUAAGAGUUAUUCAACAAGAUCCAGAAUACAAUAGAACAUGGUCAGAGUCCUUUAAACCAAGGGCACAAUUCUGAAGGUCAGGAUCAGAGACCUAUAAGCCAAGCUCAUAGUCCUAUAAACCAAGGUCAGAGCACCAUAAGCCAAGAUCAGAGGCUUAUAGGCGAAGGGUGUAUGGUUGAGGGUCAAGGACUUAUAGACUAAUGUCA